GUUUGGUAAAUCAGGUGGUUGAAGGAGUUGAAUUGUUGAAGAAAUCUAGAGAGGUUGCAGAGGCCAUUUUAAAGAACAAGUCGGCCAUUAACGAUGGCCUGAAGCUGGAUCUUGGCCAAGCUCUUGCUCUGGAAAAGGAGAGAGCUCAUGAGUAUUACAACGGAAUGACCAAAGAACAAUUUCAGAAAAUGCAGGAAUUCGUAGCUGGUCGGACCUCCAAGAACAUGUAGUUUCCUCAACGGUCAGUACAUUCCUCCCUACUUUCAUUUACAUCUGUAAUUUAAUUCUAGUGGGUCAGAAGCCUCUGUGUCAUUUGUCUCAAAUAGGAGUCUCAAAUUCACGAGUAG
Cucurbita pepo subsp. pepo (vegetable marrow) is the source of this 347-nucleotide non-coding RNA. The record is from RefSeq and is a predicted model, not a curated record. Lineage: Eukaryota; Viridiplantae; Streptophyta; Magnoliopsida; Cucurbitales; Cucurbitaceae.